GUGCUUGCUUCGGCAGCACAUAUACUAAAAUUGGAACGAUACAGAGAAGAUUAGCAUGGCCCCUGCGCAAGGAGAGACUUCCCCCAAAGACUUUCCAAAAGGGUUA
Molecule: small nuclear RNA, 106 nt
Organism: Rattus norvegicus (Norway rat)
Lineage: Eukaryota; Metazoa; Chordata; Mammalia; Rodentia; Muridae
Source: Ensembl